CUACGGAGGAUCCAAGCGUUAUCCGGAUUUAUUGGGUUUAAAGGGUGCGCAGGCGGCCUUAUAAGUCAGUGGUGAAAUCUCCCGGCUCAACCGGGAAACUGCCAUUGAUACUGUAAGGCUAGAAUACAGACGAGGUAGGCGGAAUGUAGCAUGUAGCGGUGAAAUGCUUAGAUAUGCUACAGAACACCGAUCGCGAAGGCAGCUUACCAGACUGUAAUUGACGCUAAGGCACGAAAGCGUGGGGAGCGAACAGGAUUAGAAACCCCAGUAGUCC
RNAcentral lists this ribosomal RNA (274 nucleotides) under uncultured bacterium. Its description in RNAcentral is "partial 16S ribosomal RNA". It matches the Rfam family "Bacterial small subunit ribosomal RNA", at positions 523 to 796 of the family's 1533-position model. The record is from RNAcentral.